AACGAACGCUGGCGGCAUGCCUAACACAUGCAAGUCGAACGCAUGCUUCCGGUCUUGUGGCGCACGGGUGCGUAACGCGCGGGAACCUGUCCCUAGGUUUGGAAUAACUCCCCGGAAGGGGUGCUAUUAUAGGGUAAUUUUCUCGGGCCAAAAAUUUAUCGCCUCUGGAUGGGCCCGCGUUGGAUUAGCUAGUUGGUAGGGUAAAAGCCUACCAAGGCGACGAUCCAUAGCUGGUCUGAGAGGAUGAUCAGCCACACUGGGACUGAGACACGGCCCAGACUCCUACGGGAGGCAGCAGUGGGGAAUAUUGGACAAUGGGCGAAAGCCUGAUCCAGCCAUGCCGCGUGAGUGAUGAAGGCCUUAGGGUUGUAAAGCUCUUUUACCCGGGAUGAUAAUGACAGUACCCGGAGAAGAAGCUCCGGCUAACUCCGUG
Molecule: ribosomal RNA, 433 nt
Filed under: uncultured bacterium
Lineage: Bacteria
Description: partial 16S ribosomal RNA
Rfam family: Bacterial small subunit ribosomal RNA
Source: RNAcentral